AACGAACGCUGGCGGCAGGCUUAACACAUGCAAGUCGAACGCGUGUGGCAAUACACGAGUGGCGCACGGGUGAGUAACGCGUGGAUAUCUGCCUUUUGGUUCGGAAUAACUCCGGGAAACUGGAGCUAAUACCGGAUGGUUCCUACGGGAUAAAGAUUUAUCGCCAAAAGAUGAGUCCGCGUACGAUUAGCUAGUUGGUGAGGUAAUGGCUCACCAAGGCGACGAUCGUUAGCUGGUCUGAGAGGACGAUCAGCCACACUGGGACUGAGACACGGCCCAGACUCCUACGGGAGGCAGCAGUGGGGAAUAUUGGACAAUGGGGGCAACCCUGAUCCAGCCAUGCCGCGUGAGUGAUGAAGGCCUUCGGGUUGUAAGCUCUUUUGGUCGGGGACCGGAGUGAUGACGGUACCCGCAG
This 415-nucleotide ribosomal RNA is filed under the name uncultured bacterium. RNAcentral describes it as "bacterial SSU rRNA". It matches the Rfam family "Bacterial small subunit ribosomal RNA", at positions 29 to 484 of the family's 1533-position model. The record is from RNAcentral.